This is a non-coding RNA of Arachis ipaensis, 902 nucleotides long. The record is from RefSeq and is a predicted model, not a curated record. Lineage: Eukaryota; Viridiplantae; Streptophyta; Magnoliopsida; Fabales; Fabaceae.
GUAUCAGAGUAAGUAUGCACAUCAUAUAGACAUAUACACGAUGCAAACUUUUAAGCAACCCUCCAUUUUUUGUUCACUCUACUCAAUAAAGAUAAGUCAAACUACAAAUAUAAAGGUAUUCAUCGAGUGAAAAUUCUCCCCUUUUAUCUUUGUCAAUCAUUGCAAUAAACAAUUGUAAAUAAGUUCCUGAAUAAGCUUCAUUGAUGUCGGAAAUCCAUUCAUACAAGGGCUAAUCAUCCUAAAUAUCAAAACGGUGGAAAGGCAUAGUUACCUUCUUCAAGCUUAUAUUCUAAUACCUGAAUAUUAACCAAUCAAUGAAGACAAAUGUAGAAUUGGCAAAAAUGUUGCCCAGAAACACGGAAGAGCUAGUAAAAACAAUGGUACACCAAAAAAAAGACCUUUUUUACGAUAAACAUGAAUUGGAUAUGACUUACUUGCGACGUAUAGGUUUCUCUUUGUAAUUCUUCUUCGAGGCAGUCAUUGGUGUAGUGUGAUUUUGUCCGGGGUUGAAAUCAAGCUGAAAUUCCCAAUUCGUUCGAAAACUCCUGGCUUACCGGAGAUACGGCGAGGGAGGAACGGCGGUGACAAAGUGAGCUCGGAAGCGGAUCAGUUUGCGAUGGCGAGGCCCCGAGCAGAGAUUCCACGGCGAGGCUCCGGGCAGAGAUUAACGGAGGAGAGGACGCGCUUGAAAAGGAUCGAGCAACCGUUCGCGUGACGUGGAGGAAAAGAGGAUCGAGGACGACGACGACGGUACCCUCUGUCACUGCCGACGACGACGAUGACGGAGGCGGGCUUCACGACGAACACAGAGACGGUGAGGAGGAGAAGAGUGGCGGCGGCUGGGGGGUGACGGUGGCAGGUGGGGCUUCGCGUUGAGCACAGAGACGGUGAGGAAGAGAAGC